This 245-nucleotide ribosomal RNA is filed under the name uncultured bacterium. RNAcentral's name for it is "partial 16S ribosomal RNA". It matches the Rfam family "Bacterial small subunit ribosomal RNA", at positions 524 to 768 of the family's 1533-position model. The record is from RNAcentral.
GACGUAGGGGGCGAGCGUUGUCCGGAUUUAUUGGGCGUAAAGCGCGCGUAGGCGGCCUGUUAAGUCGGGUGUGAAAACCCGGGGCUCAACCCCGGGCCUGCAUUCGAUACUGGCAGGCUAGAGGCAGGUAGGGGAGAGUGGAAUUCCCGGUGUAGCGGUGAAAUGCGCAGAUAUCGGGAGGAACACCGGUGGCGAAGGCGGCUCUCUGGGCCUGUCCUGACGCUCAGGCGCGAAAGCUAGGGGAG